RNAcentral lists this ribosomal RNA (465 nucleotides) under Vreelandella stevensii. RNAcentral describes it as "partial 16S ribosomal RNA". It matches the Rfam family "Bacterial small subunit ribosomal RNA", at positions 338 to 795 of the family's 1533-position model. The record is from RNAcentral. Lineage: Bacteria; Pseudomonadati; Pseudomonadota; Gammaproteobacteria; Oceanospirillales; Halomonadaceae.
CCUACGGGUGGCUGCAGUGGGGAAUAUUGGACAAUGGGGGGAACCCUGAUCCAGCCAUGCCGCGUGUGUGAAGAAGGCCCUCGGGUUGUAAAGCACUUUCAGUGAGGAAGAACGCCUGGUGGUUAAUACCCAUCAGGAAAGACAUCACUCACAGAAGAAGCACCGGCUAACUCCGUGCCAGCAGCCGCGGUAAUACGGAGGGUGCGAGCGUUAAUCGGAAUUACUGGGCGUAAAGCGCGCGUAGGUGGCUUGAUAAGCCGGUUGUGAAAGCCCCGGGCUCAACCUGGGAACGGCAUCCGGAACUGUCAAGCUAGAGUGCAGGAGAGGAAGGUAGAAUCCCCGGUGUAGCGGUGAAAUGCGUAGAGAUCGGGAGGAAUACCAGUGGCGAAGGCGGCCUUCUGGACUGACACUGACACUGAGGUGCGAAAGCGUGGGUAGCAAACAGGAUUAGAUACCCGAGUAGUC